GACGAACGCUGGCGGCGUGCUUAACACAUGCAAGUCGAACGGUAAGGCCCUUCGGGGUACACGAGUGGCGAACGGGUGAGUAACACGUGGGUGAUCUGCCCUGCACUUUGGGAUAAGCCUGGGAAACUGGGUCUAAUACCGAAUAUGACUACAGGCUGCAUGGUCUGUGGUGGAAAGCUUUUGCGGUGUGGGAUGGGCCCGCGGCCUAUCAGCUUGUUGGUGGGGUGAUGGCCUACCAAGGCGACGACGGGUAGCCGGCCUGAGAGGGUGACCGGCCACACUGGGACUGAGAUACGGCCCAGACUCCUACGGGAGGCAGCAGUGGGGAAUAUUGCACAAUGGGCGCAAGCCUGAUGCAGCGACGCCGCGUGAGGGACGACGGCCUUCGGGUUGUAAACCUCUUUCAGCACAGACGAAGCGCAAGUGACGGUAGGUGCAGAAGAAGAACCGGCCAACUACGUG
RNAcentral lists this ribosomal RNA (462 nucleotides) under uncultured bacterium. RNAcentral describes it as "partial 16S ribosomal RNA". It matches the Rfam family "Bacterial small subunit ribosomal RNA", at positions 28 to 507 of the family's 1533-position model. The record is from RNAcentral.